This is a long non-coding RNA of Hylaeus volcanicus, 341 nucleotides long. RefSeq lists it as uncharacterized. The transcript is spliced from 3 exons. The record is from RefSeq and is a predicted model, not a curated record. Lineage: Eukaryota; Metazoa; Arthropoda; Insecta; Hymenoptera; Colletidae.
UUUUACUGAGAAAAAUAUGAGGCCCUGUUGAAAACGAGGCCCGAAACUAUAGGCCCCUUAGCCUUAUGUUCAUUUGUACUGUCAUUCUUCACAAUAAAUUGUUGCAACUUUUGCACCAACCAUUUCUGGUCCUAUGUCGACCGAGACUCGAUAAAAAUCAAAUGGGAUCAGACAAUCUGGAGCCUAAAGGGUUGAGAAAUUUGUACGCAGGAGUUAAGGUUGGAUUCGAUGCUCCAUGCUUGGCCCUCAUCGUACAGGUCGCGAUUCACCACCAUGGGUUGGGAGACGUGAUAAAGCAGAUUGUAAACUUUCUUCUGCUUCAAGAGAUAAUCCGUGUCGGC